This 486-nucleotide ribosomal RNA is filed under the name uncultured bacterium. Its description in RNAcentral is "bacterial SSU rRNA". It matches the Rfam family "Bacterial small subunit ribosomal RNA", at positions 20 to 507 of the family's 1533-position model. The record is from RNAcentral.
UGGCUCAAGAUGAACGCUAGCAGGAGGCCUAACACAUGCAAGCCGAGCGGUAGAGAUUCUUCGGAAUCUUGAGAGCGGCGUACGGGUGCGGAACACGUGUGCAACCUACCUUUAUCUGGAGGAUAGCCUUUCGAAAGGAAGAUUAAUACUCCAUAAUAUAUUGAUUGGCAUCAAUUGAUAUUGAAAGCUCCGGCGGAUAGAGAUGGGCACGCGCAAGAUUAGUUAGUUGGUGAGGUAACGGCUCACCAAGACGAUGAUCUUUAGGGGCCUGAGAGGGUGAUCCCCCACACUGGUACUGAGACACGGACCAGACUCCUACGGGAGGCAGCAGUGAGGAAUAUUGGUCAAUGGGUGCAAGCCUGAACCAGCCAUCCCGCGUGAAGGACGACUGCCCUAUGGGUUGUAAACUUCUUUUGUAUAGGGAUAAACCUACCCUCGUGAGGGUAGCUGAAGGUACUAUACGAAUAAGCACCGGCUAACUCCGUG